CCUACGGGGGGCAGCAGUGGGGAAUAUUGCACAAUGGGCGCAAGCCUGAUGCAGCCAUGCCGCGUGUGUGAAGAAGGCCUUCGGGUUGUAAAGCACUUUCAGCGGGGAGGAAGGCGGUGAGGUUAAUAACCUCAUCGAUUGACGUUACCCGCAGAAGAAGCACCGGCUGAACUCCGUGCCAGCAGCCGCGGUAAUACGGAGGGUGCAAGCGUUAAUCGGAAUUACUGGGCGUAAAGCGCACGCAGGCGGUCUGUCAAGUCGGAUGUGAAAUCCCCGGGCUCAACCUGGGAACUGCAUUCGAAACUGGCAGGCUAGAGUCUUGUAGAGGGGGGUAGAAUUCCAGGUGUAGCGGUGAAAUGCGUAGAGAUCUGGAGGAAUACCGGUGGCGAAGGCGGCCCCCUGGACAAAGACUGACGCUCAGGUGCGAAAGCGUGGGGAGCAAACAGGAUUAGAUACCCCAGUAGUC
RNAcentral lists this ribosomal RNA (466 nucleotides) under uncultured Klebsiella sp. RNAcentral describes it as "bacterial SSU rRNA". It matches the Rfam family "Bacterial small subunit ribosomal RNA", at positions 338 to 795 of the family's 1533-position model. Lineage: Bacteria; Pseudomonadati; Pseudomonadota; Gammaproteobacteria; Enterobacterales; Enterobacteriaceae. The record is from RNAcentral.